Molecule: ribosomal RNA, 406 nt
Filed under: uncultured bacterium
Lineage: Bacteria
Description: partial 16S ribosomal RNA
Rfam family: Bacterial small subunit ribosomal RNA
Source: RNAcentral
AUUGAACGCUGGCGGCAGGCCUAACACAUGCAAGUCGAACGAGCGGCGGACGGGUGAGUAAUGUCUGGGGAACUGCCCGAUAGAGGGGGAUAACUACUGGAAACGGUGGCUAAUACCGCAUACCAUCGGAUGUACCCAUAUGGGAUUAGCUAGUAGGUGGGGUAAAGGCUCACCUAGGCGACGAUCCCUAGCUGGUCUGAGAGGAUGACCAGCCACACUGGAACUGAGACACGGCCCAGACUCCUACGGGAGGCAGCAGUGGGGAAUAUUGCACAAUGGGCGCAAGCCUUAUGCAGCCAUGCCGCGUGUAUGAAGAAGGCCUUAGGGUUGUAAAGUACUUUCAGCGGGGAGGCGUUACCCGCAGAAGAAGCACCGGCUAACUCCGUGCCAGCAGCCGCGGUAAUUC